GAAAGCUGGAUGAGAUCGAAAGACUCAUGUCCUGUUUGGAGAGGGGGUGCCCGGAAAAGUGCCGUGAUAAACAGUAACUCGCUGGCGCUCUACUCUAC
RNAcentral lists this non-coding RNA (98 nucleotides) under Xenorhabdus bovienii str. feltiae France. Lineage: Bacteria; Pseudomonadati; Pseudomonadota; Gammaproteobacteria; Enterobacterales; Morganellaceae. RNAcentral also lists the same sequence under 1 other name. The record is from RNAcentral.